AGCGUAGAAAUAGUCUGGUCAGUGACUUCCGUCGGCGCGGAGUUUGACAUAAAAUGCAGAUGCGACGCAAUUCCUGAAUUUAACAUACGUAAGGGAUAUUGUGCACAGCCAUGUCGGAAUCCAUAUUUAUCUGUAAAAAGCGUUAAAACAUUGUAGUGUAUGUGCCAAGGCUGUUGCGGCGCUGUAAAAGCUGCCACAGGAAGUCACCAAAAACAAUAAGAAGUCUUAGCGUUACCGUUGUACAGUAACAUUUUCACAACAAUUGUGGGGAAUGCGAGACGAGCAACAAAUGCUAAAUUUAUCUGGACUGACGAUAAACUGCAAUUUGUUCUGGAACGGAAGCUCAAAUCACCGACAAGGGUGGACCCCGCCUCUCGGCCAAAGAUAGCUGGGAUCGGUUCCGGCCAGCCCGCGACCCUAGUGAGGAUAAGCGGUAUCGAAAAUGAAUGGAUGUACAAUGCACAUCUCACCAUCUUCUUCGCCUGCCUCUCCCCGCUCUUCAUCAACCGGGGUGUUCCCGUUACUAACGCCGACACUGGCCCGUCGAGUGUCCCCGGAGAUGUUCCUCCGGAUGUCGCGGUUUUUACUGCGCCUGGCCAGCU
Molecule: long non-coding RNA, 602 nt
Organism: Syngnathoides biaculeatus (alligator pipefish)
Lineage: Eukaryota; Metazoa; Chordata; Actinopteri; Syngnathiformes; Syngnathidae
Exons: 3
Source: RefSeq, a predicted model, not a curated record